This 64-nucleotide transfer RNA is filed under the name Cinygmina sp. 07BF85. RNAcentral describes it as "tRNA-Ala". It matches the Rfam family "tRNA". From Rfam's summary of the family: Transfer RNA (tRNA) molecules are approximately 80 nucleotides in length. Lineage: Eukaryota; Metazoa; Arthropoda; Insecta; Ephemeroptera; Heptageniidae. The record is from RNAcentral. RNAcentral also lists the same sequence under 2 other names.
AGGGCUGUAGUUAAGUAUAAUAUUUGGUUUGCAUCCAAAAGGUGUUGUGUAUCAACCUGCCUUA